This 291-nucleotide signal recognition particle RNA is filed under the name Cebus imitator (Panamanian white-faced capuchin). RNAcentral describes it as "Metazoan signal recognition particle RNA (ENSCCAG00000012136.1)". It matches the Rfam family "Metazoan signal recognition particle RNA". From Rfam's summary of the family: The signal recognition particle (SRP) is a universally conserved ribonucleoprotein. It is involved in the co-translational targeting of proteins to membranes. The eukaryotic SRP consists of a 300-nucleotide 7S RNA and six proteins: SRPs 72, 68, 54, 19, 14, and 9. Lineage: Eukaryota; Metazoa; Chordata; Mammalia; Primates; Cebidae. The record is from RNAcentral.
GCUGGGCGCGGUGGUGCAUGCCUGUAGUCCCAGCUACGUGGGAGGCUGGGGCUGGAGGAUCGCUUGAUUCCAGGAGUUCUGGGCUGUAGUGUACUAUGCCGAUCGGACUAAGUUCGGCAUCAGUAUGGUGACCUCCCAGGAGCAGGGGAUCACCAGGUUGCCUAAGGAGAGGUGAACCAGCCCAGGUCCGAAAUGGAGCAGGUCAAAACUCCCGUGCUGAUCAGUAGCGGGAUCGCGCCUGUGAAUAGCCACUGCACUCCAGCCUGGGCAACAUAGUGAGACCCCGUUUCU